This 272-nucleotide ribosomal RNA is filed under the name uncultured bacterium. Its description in RNAcentral is "partial 16S ribosomal RNA". It matches the Rfam family "Bacterial small subunit ribosomal RNA", at positions 524 to 794 of the family's 1533-position model. The record is from RNAcentral.
UACGUAGGGACCCAAGCGUUGUUCGGAUUUACUGGGCGUAAAGGGCGCGUAGGCGGCGUGGUAAGUCAUCUGUGAAAUCUCCGAGCUUAACUCGGAACGGUCAGAUGAUACUGCUGUGCUAGAGUACAGAAAGGGCAAUCGGAAUUCUUGGUGUAGCGGUGAAAUGCGUAGAUAUCAAGAGGAACACCUGAGGCGAAGGCGGGUUGCUAGGCUGAUACUGACGCUGAUGCGCGAAAGCUAGGGUAGCAAACGGGAUUAGAUACCCUAGUAGU